CUGGUAGUUAAAGAUCGACCCCUGACCUAACCGGUUAUGUUAUCUAUAGAUUCCAGAUAUUGUAUAGAAAAGACAUUGUGAAACUUCCUGGCCUGUUCUGUUUCACUGUGACCACUGGUGCAUGCAGCCCUUGUCACGUACCUCCUGCUUGCUCAAUCGAUCAUGACCCUCUCAUGUGGACCCCCUUAGAGUUGUGAGCCCUUAAAAGGGACAGGAAUUGCUCACUCAGGGAGCUCAGCUCUUGAGACAGAAGUCUUGCUCAAUGCUCCUGGCUGAAUAAACCAUUUCCUUCUUUAACUCAGUGUCUGAGGAGUUUUGUCUGCGGCUCGUCCUGCUACAUUUCUUGGUUCCCUGACCGGGAAGCGAGGUGAUUGGCAGAUGGUCGAGGCAGCUCCUUAGGCGGCUAAAGCCUGCCCUGUGGAACAUCCCUGCAGGGGACUCUGACCAGCCUGAGCGACGUGGAUCCUGAGAGCGCUUCUGGGUAGGCAUUUGCCCCAGUGGGAUGCCUCACCAGAGCAGUGUGUGGAAGGCCCCCAUGGAGUCUCAACACGGUGGCUGAACACCGGGAAGGAACUGGUAUUUGGAGUCCGGACAUCUGAAACUUGAGGAAAUGAUGCCACACCAGUUCAGGAUUUACCCUUUAAAAGGAUUGGCAGCUUUCAGCUCAGUCUCUUGGAGCCCUGAGCUGUCUUAGAAGAAGGCUGACUAUUCCUAUGGGAGAGACCACACAGAAACUAAAAAUACUUGGAAGAGGAGAGGGGCUCAGUUGAGCCCAACCUUCCAGCCAACUCCAGCAGGGUGGCAAGUAUGAGAGUGAGGAUAUCUUGGAGCCUCAGCAACCUGUGCUAUCCAAUAGCUAUCAGCCACAUGUGACUACUGAGCACUCAAAAUGUGGAGCAUCCUGCAUGAUUCUAUAGCACUCAACAGGUGUCUGCCAAGCGGACAGACUACAGACCCCUCUGGCCGCAUGAUGCUGAGCUUCCCCUUGGACACAUGAAGAUUAAGUUAGUCAAGCAUGGAGAUUCCUCCCUCUCCUUCACAAACUCCAGAUGUUUGGCAUCUCCCCAAUAUCCUAAGACCUCCUGGACUGGGAACAAAAUGAGCGUAGUGAAAGAGGAAGCAGCUUUAGAGAAAGCACCACAGGGAACAAACCAAUAAAAAAGCAGGAAACUCAGCACAAGCCUGAUUUAUGUCACUGCACUUCUCUACUCUCAGCCCCAUUCCCCCAAACUCCCAGCAAGCACACAAGCACACACAGGCACACACAUGCACAUGCGCACACACACAUGCACAUACACAACACACACACACACACAUGCCUUCUGCCAGCAGCUCUCUUUCUCACUCUCACUUUUCUUUUCAAAUGCUGGCAUUUGAAAAAAUCCCCUAUUUUGUUUCACCCUCCUUUUCUGCCUCCCUAAAGAGCUUCCGAAGAGGAGUUUUGAUGGUGCAUCUGAGUGUUAAUAGAUUCGGGAGUGUGAAGCUGUUGCCUGAAUCUCAUUCCCUGAGAGUGCCUUUCUCUUUUUAAUAGCUGAGAAAGAAUUGAUCAAGCCUCUGUUUUAGUCUCUGUUUCUAAACAGAAAGAAAGAAAGAAAAAGGAAGGAAGGAAACAAGGAAGGAAGGACAUACAACGUAAAAACAAAAACAUUUUUACGACGAUCCCUUUUUCAACAGCUAGGGGCAAUCCAGUGUGUUCAGUUGUGUUAGUUCUGUGUCUGUCAGGAGAAAAAGCCAUGUAGAAGUGAUGAUUUAGUUUUCUUGGUGGGAACACAAGGGAAGCUAGUUGAAAGCAAUGGUUGUGGGGUCUUGAAUGGACAGGCAAGUCCGGUAGUCAGAAGAAGAUUUUGAUUAGAAACAGAGGAAUUUCUUCCAGGAAAAUACAUUGUCUUCAUGACAAACCAAAAAUACACCAAAUGUUCUGAAAACUGCCCUUUAAAAAGAAAGAACAGAUUGUUCAAUUGAAACACUUUCCUGAAGCCAAUUGUUGCAGGCUGCCAGCCACCUUCAGUACCAGCCACCCCUCCGUCCUCCCCAGGGCCGGUAUAAGGGGUGCAUGAGAGACACGUGCAUGCAGAAGACUCCACCAUGAUGCCUGGCUCCCAUUGCACUGUCCCAGAGCGGCGUAGUGGCAGCUGGGGUUAGUGCUAUCUGUCAUGAAAGGGCAUUCUACUCCGGUUGGCAGAGAACACUCACACACGGGGAAGCUGAGCCAUCAGUGCAGGAGUUAAUUCCCGUUUGCAAUAAUACUAAGGAUGUCGCAUUCAUAUAUACUCAAUGAGCACUAAAGGAAUCAUAGGAAUAUGCUCUCACAGGAGAUAAUGUAGCCACAGUAGAUAAAGGAGGAUGUCCUGGAAGAAGGGGAACCUUUUUUAAGCCAAGGGAGAAAACCACUGAAAAGUAAAUCUUUGCAUGUAGCUGUGCAGCUCUGCAGAUCUAAAAUCUGUGCUUUUUAAAAGUAUACUCUGUGGAGUAGCAGUCCACAUCAAAAGGUCACAGUUUAAAAGUUUUGUAUUGUGCUUGGGUUAUCCCUUAAGAUGUUAGUUAUAUCAUCACAAAAGAACAAGAGUAAACUGUAAUUUACUAUUUUUGGAGUAUUUUUUUGUUGUUAGGCAUUUGAAGGAUGAGGUGCACAGUGCCCAAGAGUAUGUCACAGCGGCAAUUUCCACUUUAUGCAGAAUUAAUACUCAAUUACUUAUCUGCUUACCUGGACCUUGAGUGAAUAAUAGAUUCCUAAUAAAGGGUUUUUGAGCAAAUGGACAAAUUGGAUGCAUUUAUGUUAUAGCAGCCACAACAGCAAAAGAAAAUCAAACACUUACAAAACAGAAGUCAAUCAAGUUUUAACUAGAGGAGACACCAAAGUAUCAUACAGUGGAGGAAAAAUUCAAAUGUUCUGCGCCAAGCUCCUAUCAUGCCAAUUGUACAUGUUUGUGCGUAUGUAGGGUAGCUAGGGUUGGAUGUGUAAUCAUCCCUAAAAUUCAUUUGGUGAAGAAAAAUACAUUUUAUUUGAAAUCAUUGUCUAUUUUUAUUCCUGCCAAUAUUUUGUAUAACAUAGAAGUCUGCCCCAGAGUGUAAAUAAAUAAUGAGGAAGGUCACAGAUCUAAAUAUACUAUCUUGGUUCAAUAAUAAAAAGAGA
RNAcentral lists this long non-coding RNA (3133 nucleotides) under Homo sapiens (human). RNAcentral's name for it is "HSALNT0137305". Lineage: Eukaryota; Metazoa; Chordata; Mammalia; Primates; Hominidae. The record is from RNAcentral.